RNAcentral lists this ribosomal RNA (438 nucleotides) under uncultured bacterium. Its description in RNAcentral is "partial 16S ribosomal RNA". It matches the Rfam family "Bacterial small subunit ribosomal RNA", at positions 339 to 795 of the family's 1533-position model. The record is from RNAcentral.
CUACGGGUCGCUGCAGUGAGGAAUAUUGCACAAUGGGGGGAACCCUGAUGCAGCAACGCCGCGUGGAGGAUGACGCAUUUCGGUGUGUAAACUCCUUUUAUAUGUCAAGAAAAUGACGGUAGCAUAUGAAUAAGUACCGGCUAACUCCGUGCCAGCAGCCGCGGUAAUAGGAGGGUGCAAGCGUUACUCGGAAUCACUGGGCGUAAAGGACGCGUAGGCGGGUUGGAAAGUCAGGUGUGAAAUCCUACAGCUUAACUGUAGAACUGCACUUGAAACUUCUAAUCUAGAGUAUGGGAGGGGGAGAUGGAAUUAGUGGUGUAGGGGUAAAAUCCGUAGAUAUCACUAGGAAUACCUAAAGCGAAGGCGAUCUCCUGGAACAUUACUGACGCUAAGGCGUGAAAGCGUGGGGAGCAAACAGGAUUAGAUACCCCUGUAGUC